RNAcentral lists this long non-coding RNA (4070 nucleotides) under Hordeum vulgare. RNAcentral describes it as "long non-coding RNA (HVUL_LNC007380)". Lineage: Eukaryota; Viridiplantae; Streptophyta; Magnoliopsida; Poales; Poaceae. The record is from RNAcentral.
AAGAUAAACACAUAUUACACCACAAUGAAAAUAUGUUUAUAAACAUGCACAUACAUUAAACGCAAGUUGACAAACAAAUUAACCUAGAGGAAGCAUAGUUUUGACCAUCUUAACAAUCAUCUAGAACACACAAGUCACAAAAAGAUAAGGACUAUUGGUUACUAUGAGAGACUUCAGAUGGUCCAGAACACACAAGUUUGUAUCUACAUACACAAAGUGCAAGCUCCAAAACACUCGAAACACCAAAUGGUCUACAAGACAAUAAGGUUCAUGAUUACAGGUUGGUUGGUCCAUAAACGCUAGAGUCAUCAUGUCCAUGUGCAUCAAUAGGUUGAGUACCUGAAAACAUUUUGCACAAAUUUGUCAAGAAAGUGGAACCAGAUGUAGGUGCACUCAUCAUGACCUUCCACAUAAUUAAAGACAGAAACAUCUAUCUAAAUAAAUGACAAGAAUACAAAACAAAAGACAGAUAAAAUUUAGUUGGUUAGCUUGUAGAAGCAAGGAUAGUGGUGAGCUCAAGCAGCUUUGAAAUAUGAUUCUUUAGAAUAAAUUAAGUUGUGUAUAAUUGUAUAUACCACCUAAAAAAUGAUGCCUUUAGUAUAAACCAGGAAGCCAGAUUUCAUAUGACAUCGCUUCGGCCGACUUUGGCAUUGUAUUUUUUUUCAAAAUCACACUACUCUAAAAUCACAGGAUUAUAGUGAUGAUUUUAAUCAACCACCAGAUACACUUGUAUCUGGGAGGAAAUUCUUUCAGUCGGCAAUUAUUUUUUAUCUACAAAUCAGAACUUAAACUUUGUUGUUGCUUCAAUAAAAACUUGCACAUUCAGUUUUAAUUCGCGAAAGAUGGGUUUCAUCUCUCAAUUCUAUUUCUAAAAGUGAACAAAUAUUCAGUGUUAAUGAGCGUGAUAUAUCACAGAAAUUGCCAUUGCUUUGCUUGGCAAAUGAUUUGGAUAAACAUAAAGUAAAAAUGAACAAUGUGCAAGUUUCUCCUACCGGCAUUCACCCCAUUGAUAUCCUGUGUGAGAAUGAGAUCAUGCGAUGCAUCAAAAUCACUAUUCCCAAUCACCGGAACAAAAUCUCUUCCGUCAGAAAAGUAAUCAGGAGAAAAAGAACUUAUGUUAACUAAGUAAAUAAGCCACUCAGAGGACCUCGAAAUAUUCUUGUAAACAUAGUGCUUAGAACAAGAUUCCAUAAGGCUUACCAACGAAAUGUCACGGUUAGUAACCAGAGUGUAAUUUGUCUUCUUCUCAAAGUGUUUCUUUCAGCAUAUGCCAACUCUGAAUAAUUUAGAAGUAACAAGAUUAUCAAAUUUGAGAGUGUUCAAGAGAAAAUGUGCAAUACUUGCUAGGCAAACUCAUAAUUAUGGAUUAUCAGGUGGAAAAAAAACAAUUCACAUAGCUAAACAACUGUUUUGGUCCUUAGAUAAACAACUUCAGAUAAUUCUUCAACUAUCCAAGGUAUAUCCCAACAAGGACAAGUCCACGGCAAUCUGUGGGAGUGUACCGUUUGUCGCGACGUGCACAGUAAACGACGGGCGGGCAGCCGGGGUUCAGCCCAACAAGGACAAGUCCACGGCAGAGAUUGUUGCCACGAAAAAGGUGUGGUUUUUUCUUGGAUCUGGAAUGCGUUUGCUGGGCGAUAUUAUUACUACGGACUACUCCCUCCAUUCCUAAAUAUAAGUCUUUUUAAAGAUGUCACUAAGGGACUACAUACGGAGCAAAACGAGUAAAUCUAUGCUCUAAAGUAUGUCAAUAUACAUCCGUAUGUAGUCUUGUAGUGAAACCUCUAAAAAGACUUAUAUUUAGAAACGGAGGGAGUACUUGCUAGAAUGUGUAUGUUUGCUGGACCGACGUCAUCUACAAAAAUCUGUCCCAACUCUAGAAGCGAUUUCUGGCCAUGGGACAAAUGCACAAGCUACACUCCGUGUAUCUGCAUGUACCAACCUGUACAGUGGCGGCUAUAUGGAUCUUCCUAUUAAUUCGCAUGGUGAAUUUCUCAGGGUCCAAUUAACCCUUAACCCUGAUGAGCUGCUUAAAGCACAAUGCUUGGGGAAGGAUUUCCUUGCCAUCAUUCAACAUCUACAGCUGACCAUGCAUCACAUUUUUCUUCUGUUACAGCAGCUGAGCAAGGGUACGGCUUCAGCAAAAGCAACCAGAGUCAUCAAUCUCUACUUGUUGUGCCAAACAUAGCUGUCCUCAUCUGUAGCCUGCAAGAAGAAUUCCCUUUAAGUGAAUGUGGCCUAAGCAAUCAUUCAAGUAUUACCUUGCAAAUUAUCUUGUCUGAACAAUCUAGAAUUGACUGCAAACAAGUCUCUAAAUUUAUUACAUCUAAUAAAUAGAAACACAAGUGGUCAGACUAACUUGCUUAAACUUGUACGUCUGUACUAUAGCCUGCUCCCUGCUGGACGCUGGAUAGUGCUAGAAGAAAAUUGUGUAUGUGAGAGCACUGAUAGAUGGAUUCAGUUCGACUAAGGAUUGGCAUGAGAGUAGAGAUCCCAACUUCAGAAGUUGAAGGAUUAAUAUAUAUCGAUCUAAUUACUACUCAUACCUUGGAUAGUUGAAGGAUUAAUAUACAUCAAUCUAAUUAAUAGAAGGCCAUUUGCUAUAACAUGAGGGAACACACACCGAAACUCAAAGAGAUCAAUGACCAAUAGAUGAUGGUGGAGCGAGACUUACCAACCGAGAAAGGCUCAUGGGGAGACCAUGGUACAAACAUAUGGUGAGCAUCAGAGUUGCAGGCUUGUUCAUAGUACUGUACUUGUAUGAAUUCUGAAAUUAGUCUAAAACUGACUACAAUGAUGGUUUUUCGCCUUCGGCAGAUUUAUGCGCCGUCGGACCAGGACGACUGGGGCAUCAAAGCCUUCCCCGACAUCGUCUCGUCCAUGCUAACAAGAGAAGCUCAAUACGGUCGUAAUCUUGGGGGUUGUUGCAUCAUGAGAUUUACAAGGGUGCAAGGGCCUUAUUUUUUAUGGAAUUGUAUAUUGUUGUUCAUAUGUGGAUUAUUGACUUGCCAAAUCAUUGACCUCCUAUAGUAUGAUCAGAUCAAUAUAAACAGUGUGGAUUCUAUUUUUUUAACAAACUCUCAUAUCAAACCAUUGGCUAGUGUUUAUAUUGGUUGGUGGUAACAUCUACCUUAUAGAUAGGUGGCUAUUUGAUCAAAAUAGAAACUCUCAAGUCCGUAGACGACCUAUGAACACAGAGGAAGGUCUCAAAAGGCGCACCAUAGGUGCGCCCCCGCCCCAAGUCUAGUUUAAAUGGACGCUACACAAGGAUGAUCUCACGGAUUCGCACAGUGGAAACAAAUGCUGAGAGGCUGAAUGCCCUAAUCAAGUGUCAUAAAAGAGGAACCAUAAGUGUGCAAACAAUCAGCUUGUAGCUUGAACACAGUCCUUGAAAUUUUGCUUAUGCAAAUGUCACAUGCUAAGGUAUGUGUAAAGUACUUAUCAUAAAUCAAUAAACACUCAGUUGGCCAGCGGAGUCUACAUCCGAAGGGUCAAUCCAGAAGCUUGGAUGGAAAAAAUAAAAUAAAAAGAGCAAAGAAAGGAGUACCGCGAGAGAUGCUCUUUCAGAUCUUCAUGCAUUUUGAGAACACGCAACACUGCAAAAUAAAAGGGCAAGUACGGGUAAGACUGUAAGUAAGUAGGGCAAGCUGCUUCGUAGAAUCGAGGUAGACGAUUCCUUGAGAGUACAAGAUAAUAAUAGCUACAACUACUGAAGAUAAAGGUCAUUACGCCGUGCACGGAUGGUCUCGAGUUUCGCGUCAUCGUCUCUUGAAUAAGUCUGCAAAGUUCAUGGAAGGGAAGGGGAGAGGCAAUUAACACAUACGCCAAAGAUUAUACAGUACCAAUCCAUCUGUAGAUGAUAUGGUAUACCAGUUCCGAUAACAAGUGUUGCCGCCGCCUCAGCUGCUCCCCGUGCUGCAAAAUGUAAUAAUGGGAUUAAACUGAAAGAACUGUGAAAUUUGAGUUCCUGAUGGAUUAAUUCGGCUAGACUAGACAUGGUAAAUGCAGCAGUAGCAACAAACAUCGUUGAGUAACGGGAGGGAGGUGGGUUUCCGGCCGGCCGUACGCAC